This 124-nucleotide ribosomal RNA is filed under the name Escherichia coli. Its description in RNAcentral is "partial 23S ribosomal RNA". The stretch from base 1 to 106 matches the Rfam family "Bacterial large subunit ribosomal RNA", at positions 2820 to 2925 of the family's 2925-position model. The record is from RNAcentral. Lineage: Bacteria; Pseudomonadati; Pseudomonadota; Gammaproteobacteria; Enterobacterales; Enterobacteriaceae. RNAcentral also lists the same sequence under 2 other names.
GAGUCUCCUGAAGGAACGUUGAAGACGACGACGUUGAUAGGCCGGGUGUGUAAGCGCAGCGAUGCGUUGAGCUAACCGGUACUAAUGAACCGUGAGGCUUAACCUUACAACGCCGAAGGUGUUU